Molecule: non-coding RNA, 210 nt
Filed under: unclassified sequences
Source: RNAcentral
AAGUGAAAAUAUUUCUGGGGCGCCAGCAGGCACAAUAGGGAAGGCGGUGAAAUUCCGCAGCGGUUGCGCCACUGUAAACGGGAAGCCCCCGGCAAACUGCCACUGUUGUCUUUGCUCUCACACCUGUGUUGUGAGAGCCAGGAUGGCGGGAAGGCGCCGGAGGAGCGGAGAUCCGUAAGCCAGGAGACCUGCCCCGGAAAUCAGGGACCA